Small nucleolar RNA from Dipodomys ordii (Ord's kangaroo rat), 133 nucleotides. The record is from Ensembl. Lineage: Eukaryota; Metazoa; Chordata; Mammalia; Rodentia; Heteromyidae.
CUCCAUGUAUCUAUGGGACCUGUCAGCCGUGGCAGGCUCCCUUCCUAGCCAUGGAAGAGCAUGAGCCUUGUUGAUUGGCAAAGCUGGCACCAUCUUGGUUGGUAUCAGAUUCUGACUUGCACAAGGAACACGG